AGAGUAUGAUCCUGGCUCAGAACGUACGCUGGCGGCACGCCUUAUACAUGCAAGUCGAACGCAGUAGCAAUACUGAGUGGCAAACGGGUGAGUAUAAUGUGGGUAUCUGCCUUUUGGUUUGGAAUAACAUGAGGAAACUUGUGCUAAUACCGGAUAAGCCUUCACAGGGAAAGUUUUAUACGCCGAAAGAUGAGCCCGCACUUUAUUAGUUUGUCGGUGAGGUAAUGGCUCACCAAGACAAUUAUCAAUAGCUGGUCUGAGAGGACGAUCAGCCACAUUGGGACUGAGACACGGCCCAGACUCCUACGGGAGGCAGCAGUAAGGAAUCUUGCACAACGGGGGAAACCCUGAUGCAGCGAUGCCGCGUGAGUGAAGAAGGCCCUUGGGUUGUAAAACUCUUUCGUCGGGGAAGAAAAUGACUGUACCCGAAUAAGAAGGUCCGGCUAACUUCGUGCCAGCAGCCGCGGUAAUACGAAGGGACCUAGCGUAGUUCGGAAUUACUGGGCUUAAAGAGCUCGUAGGUGGUUAAAAUAGUUGAUGGUGAAAUCCCAAGGCUCAACCUUGGAACUGCCAUCAAAACUUUUUAGCUAGAGUGUGAUA
RNAcentral lists this ribosomal RNA (600 nucleotides) under uncultured marine bacterium. Its description in RNAcentral is "bacterial SSU rRNA". It matches the Rfam family "Bacterial small subunit ribosomal RNA", at positions 8 to 653 of the family's 1533-position model. The record is from RNAcentral.